GUCGAACGCUUCUUUUUCCACCGGAGCUUGCUCCACCGGAAAAAGAGGAGUGGCGAACGGGUGAGUAACACGUGGGUAACCUGCCCAUCAGAAGGGGAUAACACUUGGAAACAGGUGCUAAUACCGUAUAACAAUCAAAACCGCAUGGUUUUGAUUUGAAAGGCGCUUUCGGGUGUCGCUGAUGGAUGGACCCGCGGUGCAUUAGCUAGUUGGUGAGGUAACGGCUCACCAAGGCCACGAUGCAUAGCCGACCUGAGAGGGUGAUCGGCCACAUUGGGACUGAGACACGGCCCAAACUCCUACGGGAGGCAGCAGUAGGGAAUCUUCGGCAAUGGACGAAAGUCUGACCGAGCAACGCCGCGUGAGUGAAGAAGGUUUUCGGAUCGUAAAACUCUGUUGUUAGAGAAGAACAAGGAUGAGAGUAACUGUUCAUCCCUUGACGGUAUCUAACCAGAAAGCCACGGCUAACUACGUGCCAGCAGCCGCGGUAAUACGUAGGUGGCAAGCGUUGUCCGGAUUUAUUGGGCGUAAAGCGAGCGCAGGCGGUUUCUUAAGUCUGAUGUGAAAGCCCCCGGCUCAACCGGGGAGGGUCAUUGGAAACUGGGAGACUUGAGUGCAGAAGAGGAGAGUGGAAUUCCCAUGUGUAGCGGUGAAAUGCGUAGAUAUAUGGAGGAACACCAGUGGCGAAGGCGGCUCUCUGGUCUGUAACUGACGCUGAGGCUCGAAAGCGUGGGGGAGCAAACAGGAUUAGAUACCC
Molecule: ribosomal RNA, 757 nt
Filed under: Enterococcus faecium
Lineage: Bacteria; Bacillati; Bacillota; Bacilli; Lactobacillales; Enterococcaceae
Description: bacterial SSU rRNA
Rfam family: Bacterial small subunit ribosomal RNA
Source: RNAcentral